GACAGAGGUCCCGAGCGUUAGGCGGAAUCACUGGGCUUAAAGCGUGUGUAGGCGGAUGCCUAAGUACCUUGUGAAAUCCCACGGCUCACCCGUGGAACUGCUUGGUAUACUGGGUGUCUUGAGCCACUUAGGGGCUACCGGAACAAAUGGUGGAGCGGUGAAAUGCGUAGAUAUCAUUUGGAACGCCAAUGGUGAAAACAGCUGACUGGGAGUGUGCUGACGCUGAGACACGAAAGCCAGGGGAGCGAACGGG
Molecule: ribosomal RNA, 253 nt
Filed under: uncultured bacterium
Lineage: Bacteria
Description: partial 16S ribosomal RNA
Rfam family: Bacterial small subunit ribosomal RNA
Source: RNAcentral